This 74-nucleotide transfer RNA is filed under the name Lentibacillus amyloliquefaciens. RNAcentral describes it as "tRNA-Trp". It matches the Rfam family "tRNA". From Rfam's summary of the family: Transfer RNA (tRNA) molecules are approximately 80 nucleotides in length. The record is from RNAcentral. Lineage: Bacteria; Bacillati; Bacillota; Bacilli; Caryophanales; Bacillaceae.
UAGGGUAUAGUUUAAUGGCAAAACGAAGGUCUCCAAAACCUUUGAUGUGGGUUCGAUUCCUACUACCCCUGCCA